CCUGUGGAUCCGCCACUGUGGUGACGUCAUCUCGAUCAGGGAGACGUGAAUAAUUGACAACCGCUCCUGUCACUCUCGUCACGUCUCACCAGAAGAAAGAGGAAAUACGGUCAGACACAUGAGGGCGCACAGCCAUGUGAAAAAUAGAACGGAUCGAGUGAAGGGAAAGCUGGCGAAGAGGGUGGGGGUCAUCCGUGAACGAUUUUUUUUGUGUGUGUGUGUGUGUGUGACUGCACUGCAAAUUUUUGAAGUGAAAACUUCUAUGGGAAGGUUUGGAUAGGGAGUAAAUUCAUGCAAGCAGCGCUACGGUGAACAAUAGCAGGCUUCUCGAGGGGAAGACAAUGCCGAUAAAAAUUAAAACAUAAAUUAAUCCAACA
Long non-coding RNA from Bacillus rossius redtenbacheri, 377 nucleotides. RefSeq lists it as uncharacterized. The record is from RefSeq and is a predicted model, not a curated record. NCBI's taxonomy places the organism in Eukaryota, Metazoa, Arthropoda, Insecta, Phasmatodea, Bacillidae. The transcript has 2 exons.